GGUUGAUUCUGCCUGACGUGGAUGCUAGUCUCACAGAUUUAGCCAUGCAUGUGCAAGCGAAGCCAGUGGCGGAGCGGCGUACGGCUCAGUAAGGGGCGUCUUAUUUGUUCUCCCGGRGCGGACAACCCCUGUAAGCGGGGGCCAAAACGCGAGCGGCGAGCCCUGCAGGGCGCGCAGCGAACGGCACUUGUGCCGUGCGGGAGAGUAAGGAGCCAUCCCAUCAGCUAGUAAGUAGGGUAAGGGCCUACUUAGGCGAAGACGGGUACGGGGGAUCGGGGUCCGAUUCCGGAGAGGGAGCCUGAGAGACGGCUACCAGGUCCAAGGACAGCAGCAGGCGCGCAACUUACCGAAGCGCGCAUUCGCGGCGGUAGUGAUGAGACGUGGAUACGAUGUGCGGGCAGAGAGCGCACUGGUAACAGGAGGUCAAGACUGGUGCCAGCAUCCGCGGUAAUACCAGCUCCUGGAGUGUCUAUGGUGGUUGCUGCAGUUAAAGUGUCUGUAGUCGGGCUGCGCGGGCGGUGGCAAAUGCACAUGCUCGAAGUGUGUGUUUCACUGGUACGGCAGAGAAGAAGGAGCGGCCAGGGGCCAGGCUAUUGGGCGACGAGGGGUGAAAUCCGUGGACUCGCACAGGAGCAGCAGAGGCGAAGGCGCUGGCCAGGGGCGAAUCCGGUGAUAAAGGACGUAGGCCAGAGGAUCGAAGACGAUUAGAGACCGUUGUAGUUCUGGCAGUAAACGAUGCCGAUGCCGUGGCGCGGRGCGCGACGCGGAAGAGAAAUCGAGUAGGGCCCUGGGGAGAGUACACGCGCAAGCGAGAAAUUUAAAGGAAAUUGACGGAAGAACACCACAAGGAGUGGAGUGUGCGGCUUAAUUCGACUCAACGCGGGACAGCUUACCAGGCCCGACGUCCGCAGGAGUGAGUACACGAUAGGGCGGAGAGUGGUGCAUGGCCGUUAACGACAGAUGGGGUGACCCYGUGGUUAAGUCCGUGAAUCUGUGAGACCCCCGUCCGCGYGCGGAGACAGGUGCGCAAGGCACAGGAGGGAGGGGGCAAGAACAGGUCAGUGAUGCCCUCAGAUGGCCUGGGCUGCACGCGCACUACAGUGGUCGCAGAAAGAGGGCGCGCAGCGUGAAUGGCGAUCGAGAGGGAAUGUGCUCUGUAAGGGGCGCAGGAACGAGGAAUUGCUAGUAAUCGUGGGCUCACUAAGACACGAUGAAUGGGUCCCUGUUCUUUGUACACACCGCCCGUCGUUAUCGAAGAUGGAGCGCAGCGCGAACAAGCGGGAGCGAGUGAGUGUUGUGUUCUAGAUGUGAUACAAGUCGUAACAAG
RNAcentral lists this ribosomal RNA (1327 nucleotides) under Pleistophoridae sp. YST-2017a. RNAcentral describes it as "SSU rRNA". It matches the Rfam family "Microsporidia small subunit ribosomal RNA". The record is from RNAcentral. Lineage: Eukaryota; Fungi; Microsporidia; Pleistophoridae.